AGCCACAGCCAUAUCACCCUGCAGCCCAAGACUGGUUGCCCACUGAAGCUCAGUAGGGUUGAGCCUGGUUAGUACCUGGAUGGGAGACCUCCUGGGAAAACUAGGUUGCUGUUGGAA
RNAcentral lists this ribosomal RNA (117 nucleotides) under Sinocyclocheilus anshuiensis. The record is from RNAcentral. Lineage: Eukaryota; Metazoa; Chordata; Actinopteri; Cypriniformes; Cyprinidae.